RNAcentral lists this ribosomal RNA (420 nucleotides) under uncultured bacterium. Its description in RNAcentral is "bacterial SSU rRNA". It matches the Rfam family "Bacterial small subunit ribosomal RNA", at positions 355 to 775 of the family's 1533-position model. The record is from RNAcentral.
UGGGGAAUCUUGCGCAAUGGCCUAACGGCUGACGCAGCGACGCCGCGUGAGGGAUGAAGCUCCUCGGAGUGUAAACCUCUGUUGCCCGGGACGAACAGCUCGUUUAUACGAGCCUGACGGUACCGGGUGAGGAAGCACCGGCUAACUCCGUGCCAGCAGCCGCGGUAAUACGGGGGGUGCGAGCGUUGUCCGGAAUCACUGGGCGUAAAGGGCGCGUAGGUGGUCUGAUAAGGGUGUGGUGAAAGUCCGGGGCUCAACCCCGGAUCUGCCGUGCCGACUGUCAGACUCGAGGACUGUAGAGGCAGGCGGAAUUCCGGGUGUAGCGGUGGAAUGCGUAGAGAUCCGGAGGAAGACCGGUGGCGAAGGCGGCCUGCUGGGCAGUUUCUGACACUGAGGCGCGACAGCGUGGGGAGCAAACAG